AUGGUGUAGAAGCAGAAGGUCACUUGACUGCAGUGAACCAACACUAGCGAGGAAGCCAAGCCUAUCCCAGAGAGACCAGAUAUUAGAAAUUCAUCCUUUGAAUGUCACAUGAGCCUUUGAGAUUGGAAUUCAAUACUAGAACAGGGAAGGAAUUUCAGUAAUGAAUGAGAUGGAAUUUUCCUUCCAUCCCAGAAGGCCUGAAGUUAGAAUUGUAUUGGUAUUAUCAACAUUUUCCUAGCUUUACCUUCAUAAUCUCUCAUUUUUGUUUUUCCACAGAGGUGAAUCACUUCAAAGAGAAGGACCAGAUUCUCAUGGACCCCACUGCCAUGCUGGCCAGACAUCUUGCUGCCAUUGUUUUCCUGUUAUUUACUCCCAAACAGAUGGUCUAUAAUGAAGAACUGACUUUUCUUUGUUCUCAAGCAAAGGACCUUUGGUAAGUUUCCAAAACAUAAACUCAUGUAAGUAAAUGGGAACUUUAGAGGUAUAAUCAAUCAGUGAUUCAAAAUAUUCUUUUAGGGACACCUCUAAUGGCUAUUUUUCCACAUGUCUAAAGGCAUUGUGCCUUCUUUGUAUGUGAAAACAAUUCUAUCAAUCUACCACAAUCAUAACAACAUCUGUUGGCUUUCCAAUAGUGACAUUAGAAUUAUACAUUCUAGAAAAUACAAAUUAGAAGGACUUUGCAGUUGAUCUAGUCCAGAUAACUUGUAAGCAGCUAGAGGUUCAAGGACUUGCUCAAGUUCACACUACCCAUUAAUAAGGAUUCAGAGAUUCAUCUGUAGUACUCUGAUUCUAUAACUCCCAGGCCAGCAUCAUUUCUACUUUACUUCAGAUUUGGUUUGAUCUAUGCUCUUUCUCACUGUCUCUGCUGAAUUAAUGACACACAUUUGUGAGAUGGAUGGCCAGAGCUAUUGUCAUUUUUCUAAAGAGAUGUCCAUCUGCCCUCUUCAGUUCAACAGAAUCCAUGCAAACUUUUCUUUCAAUGUCUUCUUUAUUUUUGUCAAGCCUGGGAAAAAUGAGAAAAAAAUCUGAGUGUCAGGCAUUGCAUUGAUUUCAUUGGAAAGCCUUUUCAUCAUAAACAACAAAUAGUUGUUGAACUCUCACUUUGCUUAGAGUAUACUUUAUCAUUUUCAUUUUUUCUCAUUCUGCUGGGUGUCUCCCUCUCGAUUUUUAUGUCUUUUCUGGAGAAUAUCUUUUGUUUAAAAUUAUUAUCAGUUUUCCUG
This 1220-nucleotide long non-coding RNA is filed under the name Pan troglodytes (chimpanzee). RNAcentral's name for it is "lncRNA (ENSPTRG00000053691.1)". Lineage: Eukaryota; Metazoa; Chordata; Mammalia; Primates; Hominidae. The record is from RNAcentral.